AUUUUAUAUAAAAGAUAUUCAAAAAUACAUUUUUGGAAUUAAAAAGAGUUGUACUUUUCUGAAUUAUGUAUGGACCAUCUUGAGUCGACUAUUCAAUAUUUUAAAAUUUUAAUUUUACUAUCCAAUUUUUCAAUUUGUUUGAUUUGAGCUAGUCAGCGAUAUUUUGACUUCAAAGUUAAGCUCAUUGCUUACUUUUAUUAAAUUUAUAGUUGCAAGAAUUGUAUGAAAUAUACUAAUUAAAUAUGUAAAAAUAAACAUUAACGCUUUCAAAUUUUAAAGUUAAAAUGACGUUGACUGACUCAAAUCAAAUA
Molecule: long non-coding RNA, 311 nt
Filed under: Ananas comosus (pineapple)
Lineage: Eukaryota; Viridiplantae; Streptophyta; Magnoliopsida; Poales; Bromeliaceae
Description: long non-coding RNA (ACOM_LNC029778)
Source: RNAcentral